Molecule: long non-coding RNA, 691 nt
Filed under: Numida meleagris (helmeted guineafowl)
Lineage: Eukaryota; Metazoa; Chordata; Aves; Galliformes; Numididae
Description: lncRNA (ENSNMEG00000020658.1)
Source: RNAcentral
GAAAAGCUUAUGAGCUGAGACCUACGAUUGCUCUCAAAUAGUCUGAGAGACUUAGCAAAAUGAUGUCUAAAUAACUUACCAGAUAAUAUUUAAUCUCACAGUUUUCAGAUCUGAAAACAGUCUGAUAAACUAGAGGAAGGUCAAGUCCAGCGUCUGAGGAGGUCAUAAUGUCAAUCAGUGCCAAAGAGAAGGAGGUUACUGACUGAUUAAUGAAUAUGUAUGGAUCCAAAUGGUAAAGGAGCUCCUGACGGGAUCUGAGGCACCUGUUUUUCACUGUUGUAGCAGAAAUGUUAAGUCACAGCCUGAACCAGUGAUUGAGCACCUGGUGGGAAGGCAGGGCCAACCCAGGGGAGCUCAGGUGCAUGCAAUGAACCUGAGUGAGCAGAAGGGGUGCAGGCAGGAUCCGCCCCUUCCCAGACUUCAUUUAAAGGUUGGCAGUGGAGGCAAGGGUAUCUUGCUGAAGAUUGCUGCAUAUCUCAGGUCUUCCUAAGGUAAGCAGUUUUCCUUUCUUUGUUUUUGCUUCCAUAUCUGCUUCAUCUGGGCUUGUUCUCGUUUGCUAUAGACUAGGAUUGUGCUACUCUGCUGUUAUUGCUAUACUUUCCAUCACAUUAUAGCAUUACAAUUGUCACCAGCUGUUAAUUCAACUCCUAUACUGUUGUGUCAUGCUCACACCUCAGUGCUGUAAAAUUAC